Trichomycterus rosablanca is the source of this 931-nucleotide long non-coding RNA. RefSeq lists it as uncharacterized. NCBI's taxonomy places the organism in Eukaryota, Metazoa, Chordata, Actinopteri, Siluriformes, Trichomycteridae. The record is from RefSeq and is a predicted model, not a curated record. The transcript has 2 exons.
AUGAGACGUAAGGGGAACUUGCCAGUAGCCUUUUAAAAGGUCAAGUUUACUAAUGACUUCAGAUGAACCAAUACGGUCAAUACAAUCUUCUAGUCGAGGAAGAGGAAAUGAAUCAGGAAUCGUCACAGAGUUUACUUUCCUAUAGUCGGUACAAAAUCGAUAAGUAUUAUCUUGUUUCGGGACCAGUAUGCACGGGGAACACCAUGGGCUAUUACUAGGGAUCGCAAGAUUGUUUUCCACUAAAUAAUCUGUUUCAGCAUUAAGGAGAGCACGUUUGUAGGGGUUAACACGGUAGGGAUGUUGUUUAAUAGGCGAGUGUCCAUCAACAUUAAUGUCAUGUUCCAAGACCGAGGUGCGGGAUGGAACAUCGGAGAACAGUGUCGGGAAUUUACUAAUUAGAGAUCUGAUCUCAGACUGAGCAUCGAAAGGCAAGUGUGACAGUUUUUCAGAGAGUCGCAACAAAGCAUCAGAGUUAGGGAGAUGAGAGCAAGGAACAAUAUUGCGACCUAGAUGAAUGUCAUCACUUUCAGGAGCAUAUUCCAAUAUUGAGGCGACAGCUAACACCUUAGGCGAAGAAGGUGAGGGCAAAGACCCAGAAAGAUCGCCCGUAUCAAUGGAACUGCGAUCAAGGUAGGGUUUCAACAAAUUCACAUGACAUAUGCGAGUCUUACUACGGCGAUCUGGAGUUGCUAAUAUAUAGUUACUGUCAGUUUGCUUUUCAAUUAUUUUAUAGGGACCGGAGAAUCUGGUUUGCAAAGCGGAACCAGCAACAGGUGACCAGAGAGAUGGUGAUCAUGAGCUAAAGACAAAACUAAGGACCUGUAUGGAAGAGGAACCACAAUCUGUUUAACAGUCUCACAUUCACUGCUUGAACUUACAGGAGACCAGGACCUCAUCAAUACUCCAUCCUUAAUAAAGUAUUGUGAACGAC